AUUGAACGCUGGCGGCAGGCCUAACACAUGCAAGUCGAGCGGAUGAAGGGAGCUUGCUCCUGGAUUCAGCGGCGGACGGGUGAGUAAUGCCUAGGAAUCUGCCUGGUAGUGGGGGAUAACGUCCGGAAACGGGCGCUAAUACCGCAUACGUCCUGAGGGAGAAAGUGGGGGAUCUUCGGACCUCACGCUAUCAGAUGAGCCUAGGUCGGAUUAGCUAGUUGGUGGGGUAAAGGCCUACCAAGGCGACGAUCCGUAACUGGUCUGUUAGGAUGAUCAGUCACACUGGAACUGAGACACCGUCCAGAAUCGUAGGGGAGGGAGCAGUGUGGAACAUUGGACAAUGGGCGAAAGUCUGAUCCAGCCAUGCCGCGUGUGUGAAGAAGGUCUUCGGAUUGUAAAGCACUUUAAGUUGGGGGGAAGGGCAGUAAGUUAAUAUCUUGCUUUUUUGACGUUACCAACAGAAUAAGCACCGGCUAACUUCGUG
This 484-nucleotide ribosomal RNA is filed under the name uncultured bacterium. RNAcentral's name for it is "partial 16S ribosomal RNA". It matches the Rfam family "Bacterial small subunit ribosomal RNA", at positions 30 to 507 of the family's 1533-position model. The record is from RNAcentral.